AGGACGAACGCUGGCGGCGUGCUUAACACAUGCAAGUCGAGCGAGGCCCUUCCUUCGGGAAGGUGCCCUAGCGGCGAACGGGUGAGUAACACGUGGGCAACCUGCCCCUAGCACUGGGAUAACUCCGGGAAACCGGGGCUAAUACCGGAUAUGACCUUUGAGGGCAUCCUCGAAGGUGUAAAGGAUUCUGGCUAGGGAUGGGCCCGCGGCCUAUCAGCUUGUUGGUGGGGUAACGGCCUACCAAGGCGACGACGGGUA
This 258-nucleotide ribosomal RNA is filed under the name uncultured bacterium. Its description in RNAcentral is "partial small subunit ribosomal RNA". It matches the Rfam family "Bacterial small subunit ribosomal RNA", at positions 26 to 285 of the family's 1533-position model. The record is from RNAcentral.